RNAcentral lists this long non-coding RNA (1109 nucleotides) under Malus domestica (apple). RNAcentral's name for it is "long non-coding RNA (MDOM_LNC014935)". The record is from RNAcentral. Lineage: Eukaryota; Viridiplantae; Streptophyta; Magnoliopsida; Rosales; Rosaceae.
GCUUUUGUGGGUGAAGCUUUUGUGGUGGGUGAAGCUUUUGUUGGUGAAGCUUUUAUGGGUGAAGCUUUUGUAGGUGAAGCUUUUGUAGGUGAAGCUUUUGUGAUGGGUGAAGCUUUUGUGGGUGAAGCUUUUGUUGGUGAAGCUUUUAUGGGUGAAGCUUUUGUAGGUGAAGGUUUUUGUGGUGGGUGAAGCUUUUUGUGGGUGAAGGCUUUUGUGGUGUGAAGCUUUUGUAGGUGAAGCUUUUGUGAUGGGUGAAGCUUUUGUGAUGGUGAAGCUUUUGUGGGUGAAGCUUUUGUGGGUGAAGCUUUUGUUGGUGAAGCUUUUAUGGGUGAAGCUUUUGUAGGUGAAGUUUUUGUGGUGGGUGAAGCUUUUGUGGGUGAAGCUUUUAUGGGUGAAGCUUUUGUGAUGGGUGAAGCUUUUGUGAGUGAAGCUCUUGUUGGUGAAGCUUUUAUGGGUGAAGCUUUUGUAGGUGAAGUUUUUGUGGUGGGUGAAGCUUUUGUGGCGGGUGAAGCUUUUGUGGUGGGUGAAGCUUUUGUGGGUGAAGCUUUUGUGGGUGAAGCUUUUGUUGGUGAAGCUUUUAUGGGUGAAGCUAUUAUGGGUGAAGCUUUUGUGGGUGAAGUUUUUAUGUUGAAGCUUUGUAGGUGAAGCUUUUGUAGGUGAACCUUUGGAGUUGAAGCUUUUGUUGGGUACCAUGAAUUGAUUUUGCUUCACACUAUCUUGAUCAAGAUAGUGUAAAGCUUUUGAGAAUUUGUAAUUGUUCUCCAUUGAUGAAGCUUUUGUAGGUGAAGCUAUUUUGGGUGAAGCUUUUGUAGGUGAAGCUUUGGAGUUGAAGCUUUGUAGGUGAAGUUUUUGAGUUGAAGCUUUGUAGGUGAAGUUUUUGAGUUGAAGCUUUUGUUGGGUACCAUGAAUUGAUUUUGCUUCACACUAUCUUGAUCAAGAUAGUGUGAAGCUUUUGAGAAUUUGUAGUUGUCCUCCAUUAAUGAAGCUUUUGUUGGUGAAGCUUUUGUUGGGUGAAGUUUUUGUGGGUGAAGCUAUUAUGGGUGAAGCUUUUAUAGGUGAAGCUUUGGAGUUGAAGCUUUGUAGGUGAAGCUUUGGAGUUGAAGCUGCUU